Molecule: long non-coding RNA, 269 nt
Filed under: Panax ginseng (ginseng)
Lineage: Eukaryota; Viridiplantae; Streptophyta; Magnoliopsida; Apiales; Araliaceae
Description: long non-coding RNA (PGIN_LNC017530)
Source: RNAcentral
GUGAAUUCUGUUGAUAUUCCAUUCUUUAUUAUUCUAUUGGAAUAUCCUGUCAGUGCGGAUUACGCAUGACCUGGUUCUAUUCUUUAUUAUUCUAUUGGAAUAACCUGUAUGUGCGAUCUAUCGUAUGCAUGGUGAAUUCUUCUAUUAUUCCAUCUUUUAUUAUUAUGUUGGAAUAACCUGUCUAUGUGGAUUACCACAUGCAUGGUGACUGAUCCUUCGUAUUCAUUCCUUAUUAAAUUGUGGAAAUGACCUGUCUACGUGGAUUACCG